Cavia porcellus (domestic guinea pig) is the source of this 2423-nucleotide long non-coding RNA. RefSeq lists it as uncharacterized. The transcript is spliced from 4 exons. Lineage: Eukaryota; Metazoa; Chordata; Mammalia; Rodentia; Caviidae. The record is from RefSeq and is a predicted model, not a curated record.
UUCUGCUCUACUUUCAGACCACCAUAAACUAAGCAACUUUGCUUGGCCAAUAACCCCUUCCACCAUGAUGGUCUUACCUUUGGGCCAGCAGACAAUGGACUGAGUCAUCUGAAACCCCCGGCCAAACUAAACCUCUCCUCCUUAGCUCCCAGACUGCUUUUGGGCGAGUCUGACUUGGCAGAGAGUUUUGGGCCAGAAGACUUACUCCUGAAACAAGGUUGCUGCAGGUGUGAGAGAAGAAGCAUGCUCACUGUUCUUCAUGUGCUUGGGGUCAAGAGGGAAUAAUAAGGCAUUGACACAAGUUCCACAACAGAAAAUUAUCCACUAGCCACUCGUAGGCUGCAAGAGAAAUGAGAUCAUACGUGUGCAUCAGAUCUCGGGGAGAGAGGAGAGAAGCCAUCGAAAGUGUUACAUGGCGACUUCUGGUGUCUGAUUGAGUGUGUGAAGAUCUUGGUUGAGUCGUCACUUCCUUCCACAUAAGAAGAAAAAUGUAGUUAAACUCAGUUCAAGGACUCUUAGUAGAUCCACAGGAGAAUGAAGGUCACCGGUGACUCACUGCCUCCAGAAUUGGGGAGACAGUCUGGUGGAUAUGGAUAUUAAAUACACAUGUGGGAGCAGAAGCCCAGGAACAGAAAGCCCCAGGGGUACCCACACUGUGUUAAAUGGAGGCUCAGUGUGUACAAGUCCCAGAGAGUCAAACUCCGGUGGACCAAGACUUAUCAAGGCCCCACCCAGCUUUCACAAUGGAGAUCAGAGCCAAGUCCCCUCAUCCUUCUGUAGCGGGAGGGGAAAUGAGCCUUCAUGAAGUAGCUGGAGCAUUCUGUUCUUAGGAAGAUCUUUUCUCAGGAGCAGCUCUUUUGCCAGAGUCUAACCGAUGAACCUGUGCAGAGCCUGAAUCUCCAAUGCCACCCUCCUUGCUUUCCCCGGGGAAGAUGGGGAGGAGACCUCAGGAGCGUACUGAACGGCACAGCUGAGGGACACAGGCUCAGUAACAGACUGAGAGCUUAUCAUCGGGCUGUAGGCUGUAUCUCCUCCCUCUCUCCCCCUCGAACACAUUGAAGGUUUCUGUAUACUAACUCAGAAAUAUUACUGAAAGAAGCACACUGCUCAGACCGGAUCAUACUCAAACUUAAGAAAAUCAAGGACAAAGGGAAUUUUGAAAGAAACCAGGGAAAAAGAAACUUUUACUUAAGGGGAGCAAAGAUAAUGAAAAUGGACUUCUCUUUAGAAAUCAUGAAAGCCAAAACAAAUCUAGUAAAAUAUUUAUACUUGUGAAAGGAAAAAAAAUUCUCACUCUGUAAAAUUCUGUACUGAGUGAAAUCAUCCUUCAAAAGUGAAGUACAAAAAUAAUGUCUUUUUAUAGAUGGAAUUUGUUGCCUGUGGAUAUGCUGUGGAAGAAAUGUUAAAAGAAAUUAUUCAGAAACAAGAAAAAUAGCAUGUGUCAGAAACCUGGAGCAACAUAAAUAAAGGGAGAGUGUUAGGGGAUAUGUGAGGGUAAAAUAAAAUAUUUUUCUCAUUCUAAACUGAUGUAUGACAUGAUUGUUUAAAGUAAUAAUGGCAAUGUUGAAAUUUGGUGACAAGUGACAGUGGUGUUAGGACAGAUGGGCGGGGGGAAUUAGGACUGUUCUGAAUUCCCUGCACUGCUGUGAGGUGGUACAAUGUCAUCUGAAAGAAGACUGAGUCAGUUGUAGAGUGCAAACUCAAGGAUGACCACUAAAACAGCUUAUAAAUGAAAAUGAAAAUGUAGGGGCUGAGGAUUUAGCUCAGUGGCAUAAGUGCCUGCCUGGCAAGCACUAGGUCAUGAGUUGGAUCUCUGGUACCAAAAGAAAAAAAAUUAAAAUACAAAUGUAAUUGAACUAACGAGAGAAAUAAAAAUCAGAAUAAUAUCAAAUGCUCAAAAGAAGACAAAAAUAGUGGAAGAUGAAAAGAAGCCAAGAACAAAAGCAGCAGAUGGAAAACAGUUACAAAAACUGUAGAUAUUAGUAUCAUCAUGGAAAAGUUUUACUUAUCAAAACCGGUUUUUACUGUAGUAAACAAGGUUGCAGUUACGCUGACUACUGUGUGGAUCUAUUUUUAUCACUUACUAAUUCUGGACUUUUCCUAGGUUUCUUUCUCUCUGCCUUACUUUUUUCAUCUUUUGAAAGGGAUGAGCAGCCUGUUCAGUAGCAGCGUCUGGAAUCCCAGCACUUGGGAGGUUGAGGAGGGAGAAUUGCUAUAAACUUAUCCUGGGCACACAGUGAGUUCAAAGCCUGCCUGCGCUACCACACGGAGACCCUGUCUCAAAAAAUCCACCCCUUGCAAAAAGAGAAAAACUCAAAGAGGGGAAUAGGGAAGAAUAAUAACCAACCAUAAUACUGUAGAUUUAAAUGAGAUAAUACACAGUAAAAUCUUCACUGCAGCACCUAGCACAGAAUAAGCACUCA